RNAcentral lists this ribosomal RNA (468 nucleotides) under uncultured bacterium. RNAcentral's name for it is "partial 16S ribosomal RNA". It matches the Rfam family "Bacterial small subunit ribosomal RNA", at positions 28 to 507 of the family's 1533-position model. The record is from RNAcentral.
GACGAACGCUGGCGGCGUGUUUAACACAUGCAAGUCGAACGGAAAGGCCCUGCUUUUGUGGGGUGCUCGAGUGGCGAACGGGUGAGUAACACGUGAGUAACCUGCCCUUGACUUUGGGAUAACUUCAGGAAACUGGGGCUAAUACCGGAUAGGAGCUCCUGCUGCAUGGUGGGGGUUGGAAAGUUUCGGCGGUUGGGGAUGGACUCGCGGCUUAUCAGCUUGUUGGUGGGGUAGUGGCUUACCAAGGCUUUGACGGGUAGCCGGCCUGAGAGGGUGACCGGCCACAUUGGGACUGAGAUACGGCCCAGACUCCUACGGGAGGCAGCAGUGGGGAAUAUUGCACAAUGGGCGGAAGCCUGAUGCAGCAACGCCGCGUGCGGGAUGACGGCCUUCGGGUUGUAAACCGCUUUUGCCUGUGACGAAGCGUGAGUGACGGUAAUGGGUAAAGAAGCACCGGCUAACUACGUG